CUUUAAUGGAGAGUUUGAUCCUGGCUCAGGACGAACGCUGGCGGCGUGCCUAAUACAUGCAAGUCGAGCGGAUCUUGCCUUCGGGUAAAGUUAGCGGCGGACGGGUGAGUAACACGUGGGUAACCUGCCCAUAAGACUGGGAUAACAUUCGGAAACGAAUGCUAAUACC
This 169-nucleotide ribosomal RNA is filed under the name Paenibacillus sp. BK033. Its description in RNAcentral is "partial 16S ribosomal RNA". It matches the Rfam family "Bacterial small subunit ribosomal RNA", at positions 1 to 170 of the family's 1533-position model. The record is from RNAcentral. Lineage: Bacteria; Bacillati; Bacillota; Bacilli; Caryophanales; Paenibacillaceae.